ACGGAAGGCAGCAGUGGGGAAUAUUGGACAAUGGGCGCAAGCCUGAUCCAGCGACGCCGCGUGAGGGAAGAAGGUUUUCGGAUUGUAAACCUCUGUUUUCAGUGAAGAAACAAAUGACGGUAGCUGAAGAGGAAGCCACGGCUAACUACGUGCCAGCAGCCGCGGUAAUACGUAGGUGGCAAGCGUUGUCCGGAUUUACUGGGUGUAAAGGGUGCGCAGGCGGGACUGCAAGUUGGAUGUGAAAUACCGGGGCUUAACCCCGGAACUGCAUCCAAAACUGUAGUUCUUGAGUGGAGUAGAGGUAAGCGGAAUUCCGAGUGUAGCGGUGAAAUGCGUAGAUAUUCGGAGGAACACCAGUGGCGAAGGCGGCUUACUGGGCUCUAACUGACGCUGAGGCACGAAAGUGUGGGUAGCAAACAGGAUUAGAUACCCUGGUA
This 437-nucleotide ribosomal RNA is filed under the name uncultured Clostridium sp. RNAcentral describes it as "partial 16S ribosomal RNA". It matches the Rfam family "Bacterial small subunit ribosomal RNA", at positions 341 to 792 of the family's 1533-position model. The record is from RNAcentral. Lineage: Bacteria; Bacillati; Bacillota; Clostridia; Eubacteriales; Clostridiaceae.